This 1815-nucleotide long non-coding RNA is filed under the name Drosophila guanche. The record is from RNAcentral. Lineage: Eukaryota; Metazoa; Arthropoda; Insecta; Diptera; Drosophilidae.
CCGAGGGUAAGGGUCUACUCAAGUGCUUGCUGGUUAUGUUUUUGAUAGAUUUCUUUGUGUUAUUCUUUGCUGCGGAAAUUGCAUUGAUUGAAAGUUGUAAUUUGUUGAAACCUUUUGAGUGUUUGAGUCUCGGGAGGUAAGACUUGUCCCCCUUCCACCAGUGUCCUGCUCUGCCAAUUAGAAAAAGUUUCCAUCUCGCCCUUGAUUAACCCAGAAAAUGGGCAAGUCAGUCGAACACACAUAGCUAUUGCGAUUCCUUGCUUGAUUAAUUCGAGAUCCCAGUAAUCAACUUUUCGGCCAGAGCUUAGAUCCUUGAGAUGUCCUUAGAGUCGUUUUGCGGUUGCACGCUUCCCUUCUUCAUCUCCGACGGAGCCCGUCCGUAGACCCUUCUGCGGUUAGACCACACUCAUGUGCCCCAUAAUCUCGUUUCGCUGACCAAAAUGACCGACAUCCCCAGGGGGUGGGGUUAGGAUUCAGACAUGGAAAGGGCGUUCUGGCGUUAUGUAAUCCAAUGCUCUCUCGUUUUCAUUUAUUACUCGUACAGCUGCACCCUUACCCUCAGCCUCCACCGCCGCCUUACCCUUCCGUCGUCAUGGAAGACUAAAGCCCGGAGGCCGAGUCUCGGGCUGAUUGAGCUUGAGUGAUGGCAACAGUUGGCAUGAUUGAAUGCUGUCUUCGGCCCCGGGAGGGAACCAAUCUGCUGGACAUAUGAAUUAUUGCCUUGGCAAUGACGAAUUCUUGGCAAAUUAGGCAAAUAAUUCAAAGUAAUUAAGAGCAGUUCACAGUUCACAGUCCACGGCAUUAGUCACAGCACCUUAAAAUUCCAUCAACCCUUCGUUGCGAGCCCUCGAAAUGGUCACGCAAAGUGCCCAUUGGAGAGGCCAUUUCCAUAAUGCCAGUCCGAUGAGCACUUGGCACUCCAUAAUAAUGAAAUUAUGAGUGCUUAUGACCAUCCAGGGAUAUCAAAUGGCGCACCCAACAUCUUUCCCAAUCCCUUCAAUUGCCACAACUACUUUGGUGGCAGCUUUCACUCACUGACACAGAUGGUGUCCCCUAUCCGCUUUUCUUGGUUGGAAAACUGCUGCUCCUUUGUCGGUCGUCGGGUCAGACGCUAGCCAUUAGUCUGUUGGCUCGUCCACACAACAAGGAAUCCAUUUCCGAUAUUGGGUGAUAAAAUUUUAUGAAUGUAAUUUGCAGCGAUUUGUUGCGUCGUCUCUGACUGGUCUCGAAACGUCCCUUGCUGGGGUUGUACCGGAUAGUGGAAGGGUUGGGCGGGUGCCUGCGUGUGUCAUUGCCAAAUUGUUAUUGACAACAUGAUGGGAGACUCGUAAAUACUUAUCUAAAUAUCCGAAUAUUUACGAAUAUCUUCGAAUGUAAUGUGUAAUGUGGCAGCAGGGUCAGACGCUUGCAUUUUCGCUAAAUUAUUAAAAGCAUUUGCGUAACGACAUUCCAACGGGUUGAAAGCCAAGUAGAGUUUGCCUUUUACGCUACGUUUUCAAAUGCAAAGAUGUUGAUUUUUUAACGCAAUUAUGACUUAGGAAUAGUCGCAAUAAAAGCAGCGUGGGCGUGGCUUGAUGUGCUACUGAGGCACCGACAAUUAAAUAAACUUUUGUUUACUUUCCAAUAUUCUGCAAUUCUUGCUGCCUUGUGCUGAUUUAGAAAAGACGAUUUAAUUGAAGAGUUGUUAUCUUUAACAAUUUACUGCAGCUGCAUGUUGACGUGCUAAUCGCAAUGACCUGACGCGGGGGCGUAAAGCUAGCAGCGCCAUUACUGCUCCGCUCGAAAUUAUAUAUUUUUUUUAGCAAUGUGUGUUUG